RNAcentral lists this ribosomal RNA (450 nucleotides) under uncultured bacterium. RNAcentral's name for it is "partial 16S ribosomal RNA". It matches the Rfam family "Bacterial small subunit ribosomal RNA", at positions 338 to 795 of the family's 1533-position model. The record is from RNAcentral.
CCUACGGGUGGCUGCAGUCGAGGAUCUUCGGCAAUGGGCGCAAGCCUGACCGAGCGACGCCGCGUGCGGGAUGAAGGCCUUCGGGUUGUAAACCGCUGUCAGUGGGGAGGAAGGCUCCGUGAAGAACGGGGUUUGACCUAUCCGCAGAGGAAGUACGGGCUAAGUUCGUGCCAGCAGCCGCGGUAAGACGAACCGUACUAACGUUAUUCGGAAUCACUGGGCUUCGAGGGUGCGUAGGCGGUCCGGUAGGGAAAUACCUCAGCUCAACUGAGGAAUUGCGCCCGAUACUGUCGGACUUGAGGGAGACAGAGGUGAGCGGAACUUAGGGUGGAGCGGUGAAAUGCGUUGAUAUCCUAAGGAACACCAGGGGCGAAAGCGGCUCACUGGGUCUCUUCUGACGCUGAGGCACGAAAGCUAGGGGAGCGAAGAGGAUUAGAUACCCGGGUAGUC